CUCUUUCAAGAAUUUGUAGAAUCAUUGAUAUAAUGUUUGUUUAUAUAUGCGAUGUUAAGCAGCAGUAUAUGGACAGAACACGUUCUGUCGUGAUAUAGUACCAAAACACAAGCUUUUACAUGUUCCGCUGCUAAAAAAAAACGUUUUUUUUUCAAAAGUGGCCAAAUCAUAUAUCGGAAUGGAGUUAAAGUGUAAACAGAUGACUUACAAGAUAGUCUAAGAGAUUUAUGAAUUGGUUACCCAAAAAUGACAAAGUUCAACUAUCUCUCAUUAGAGCAAAUAUUAAUAAAGAUCAAAACCCUGACCACAUGCAGACAGCAAAGUACGUUCUAGGAUUCAAACUAGAUGUUUUGCGGAAAAACUAUAAACUAUAAAGGGGGACGGACGGACGGACGGAAGGACGGGCGGUCAGACG
This 415-nucleotide long non-coding RNA is filed under the name Mytilus galloprovincialis (Mediterranean mussel). The record is from RNAcentral. Lineage: Eukaryota; Metazoa; Mollusca; Bivalvia; Mytilida; Mytilidae.